CUCUGGACUAAGAGCAUGGACAUUGCAGACAAGAUAUUCCAUAUUGACUUCAUGCAGCAUAUGCAAAACAACAGCCUGCAUGAUAGGAAGAUACACAAGUUACAAAAGUUUGGACACGUUACUUCUCCAGUAUUUCAUUAGCCAUGGUGUUGGUCUGGCUUCUUACAGAGCGGCGAAGGCGAAAGACCUUAUCUGCUUUGGUGUAGCUCUUCUGCCCUGAGCCAGGAUGUGGGUGUGGCUGUCUAACAAUACGGACAUACCUAAAACCAAUGUCUACUACACAUGGAAAGUAGACAAUAUGGGUGGCCAUCCUGAAAAGCAUUUACAAAGCUUUACUGAACAAAUAUCUAACCACAACUGAACAAAUCAGCAAUACCACUGUUCUGCAUGCAAAUGCAGAAUGAGCAUGACUUCUUUGUCACUUAAAACCAUGUUAUGUUCAUCUUUAUAUGUUUAAUUAACAGUUUAAUUAAAGAUAGCAUGGCUUUUUAUUUGUUUAAAAUUAUGAAUGGUAUGCCAUGAUGUUAAAGAUGUAGAUUAAUAAAAAUAUUUUUAAACGGUUAAAACAGACAUUUUAAAUACAAUCAGUCCUUUUAAAAUUUAACGUUUGUGUAAAUAAAAUAUGCCUCACUUUUGACUAAAA
Tachysurus fulvidraco (yellow catfish) is the source of this 643-nucleotide long non-coding RNA. RefSeq lists it as uncharacterized. The transcript has 2 exons. Lineage: Eukaryota; Metazoa; Chordata; Actinopteri; Siluriformes; Bagridae. The record is from RefSeq and is a predicted model, not a curated record.